RNAcentral lists this ribosomal RNA (714 nucleotides) under uncultured bacterium. Its description in RNAcentral is "bacterial SSU rRNA". It matches the Rfam family "Bacterial small subunit ribosomal RNA", at positions 772 to 1500 of the family's 1533-position model. The record is from RNAcentral.
ACAGGAUUAGAUACCCUGGUAGUCCACGCUGUAAACGAUGCUCACUCGCUGUAUGCGAUAUACCGUAUGCGGCCAAGCGAAAGCAUUAAGUGAGCCACCUGGGGAGUACGAUCGCAAGGUUGAAACUCAAAGGAAUUGACGGGGGCCCGCACAAGCGGAGGAACAUGUGGUUUAAUUCGAUGAUACGCGAGGAACCUUACCUGGGCUUAAAUGUAGUUCGACAGAUUGUGAAAGCAGUCCUUCUUCGGACGAAUUACAAGGUGCUGCAUGGUUGUCGUCAGCUCGUGCCGUGAGGUGUCGGGUUAAGUCCCAUAACGAGCGCAACCCUUAUCGUUAGUUGCCAGCGGGUCAAGCCGGGGACUCUAGCGAGACUGCCACCGUAAGGUGAGAGGAAGGUGGGGAUGACGUCAAAUCAGCACGGCCCUUAUGUCCAGGGCUACACACGUGUUACAAUGGCCAGUACAAAGGGCAGCUACCAGGCGACUGGAUGCUAAUCUCUAAAGCUGGUCUCAGUUCGGAUCGAAGUCUGCAACCCGACUUCGUGAAGCUGGAUUCGCUAGUAAUCGCGCAUCAGCCAUGGCGCGGUGAAUACGUUCCCGGGCCUUGUACACACCGCCCGUCAAACAAUGGAAGCUGGGGGUACCUGAAGUAUGUAACCGCAAGGAGCGUCCUAGGGUAAAACUAGUAACUGGUGUUAAGUCGUAACAAGGUACC